AAACUUUCAGCAACGGAUCUCUUGGCUCAGGCAUCGAUGAAGAACGCAGCAAACUGCGAUAAGUAGUGUGACUUGCCGUCGUGAAUCAUUGAAUUUUUGAACGCACAUUGCGCUGGGGAGCAUUCUCCCCGGCAUGCAAGGUCGAGCGGCAGUCGUUUUGUUGGGGGACGCAGUGCGCCUCUGAAAAGCAUUUCAGUAUGAAGUAAAAAUCGUACACG
This 218-nucleotide ribosomal RNA is filed under the name Sphaeronaemella fimicola. RNAcentral's name for it is "5.8S rRNA". The stretch from base 2 to 151 matches the Rfam family "5.8S ribosomal RNA". From Rfam's summary of the family: 5.8S ribosomal RNA (5.8S rRNA) is a component of the large subunit of the eukaryotic ribosome. It is transcribed by RNA polymerase I as part of the 45S precursor that also contains 18S and 28S rRNA. The record is from RNAcentral. Lineage: Eukaryota; Fungi; Ascomycota; Sordariomycetes; Microascales.